CAAACAUCCGUAACAUCUAAAUUAGACGACUUUAUUCAAUCGACAUAAAAUAUAGAAUGACAUGUCUAAAAAUCAUAGAAUUUUAAUGACUUAUAUACACAUAACGGGUCUUAUUUGUAACGCCAUAGUUCAUAUCUAUCCUUAUAUCAAUACCGCCAGGUGAUCAACUCCACGCAAAACGCUCCUGAUUAUCACUAGAAAAAAACAGCCUUACUAGAGAACCUAUGAUUUGAUGGAUGGUACAAAAUCGUCCAUCUUUACAACGCAUACGGUGCCCAUCCUUUGUAGUAGGACCUAUUGUUAGAUUGACGAUCUGUGAUGGCUAUCCUCGGAUCUACAUUAAUGUCUGAUAAUCAUUUUGAUGUCGUAGGAAGGGGCUAUUAGCGAACAAUUGAACAUUCUACCCAUAAUGAGAACCCUCUUUAUAAGAAUGACUAUGUGAAAGGUGGGAUAAAACCUAUUAUUACAUUUUCACUAGUGAAAAAUAUCACUUUUGCUGAUUUGACCAAUCAAAUCAAGGAUUAGAAAAUACCAAAAUAAUUGACCAAUCAGAAAGCCCGACAUAUAUGUCAGCACCUGGACAGGGGGUGGGACUACUAUAAACGUAUGCAAACUUUCGCUGUAGGCCUAGUUAGCAUACGGGGUAGGUUUUUCGUUGAUAAAAAAAGUAAUAAACAGAAUAUCUAUUACUGAAGACACUGUUAGAUAUCCUCUAUUUAUCAUCUCAAAAAGAGCAAGUCUCCUCGUAACCAGCUGGGAAGGCCUAAACCUCUCCAGCCAGGCCAUCCUUAGUGUCCCUUACCAUCCCACACUUUACACCAAGUACAGAAGUAAGUAUGCUGCUCAUACAGAUAACAGGAUGUUGUGUUGUAAUCAACCCAACGUAAUGGGCCUGUAUCUACCAUCCUGAAUGCCUAGCAGCUACUCCUAGGUACGUCACUCCUUGAGUAACAACUAUACAAUGAUAUAGAAUACAUCGCAAAAUCGCCCAUCAGUAGUAAACCUCUAGUGAAGUAACCACCAAAUUUACAAGUACCCUAGUAACCAAGAUCUCUAGUUAUUAACACUGCGUUGAAGGUCCCUAGUAACCACCCUCUAGAAUGUACCUUGAUAACAAUUCAAUCGCAGGCGCUUGUAAUGAAUGAUUAUAAUAAUAGUACAAAAAGAGUCAUUAUGAACGCAACACAUUAUGUUUAUAUUAAUCUUCUUUCUAUUUUGGAUUAUAAUUAUAAUCAUUCAUCAAUAAAACUUUGUGAUUUAAUAUAUAAACGGUACCUAGUAACCAAUUUUAUAUAAAAGGCCUCUAGAAGCAAUAUCUACAUGAAAAGCUCCUAACAAACAGACUCUUAUUCUAACUUGUGUAAAUCAAAGGUCCCUUGUAACCAACUACAUAUGGUAGGUCCCAAGUAACCAUCCCAGGCGAAUAGUCUAGUUACUAACCCUACGUAGGUCCCAAGUAACCAUCCCAGACAAGAAGUCUAGUUACUAACCCUACGUAGGUCCCAAGUAACCAUCCCAGGCGAAUAGUCUAGUUACUAACCCUACGUAGGUCCCAAGUAACCAUCCCAGACAAGAAGUCUAGUUACUAACCCUACGUAGGUCCCAAGUAACCAUCCCAGGCGAAUAGUCUAGUUACUAACCCUACAUAGGUCCCAGGUAACCAUCCCAGACGAGAAGUCUAGUAAGUAACCCUACGCAGGUCCCAAGUAACCAUCCAAGGCAAGAAGUCUAGGUCCCAAGUAACCAUCCCAGACAAGAAGUCUAGACACUAACCCUACGUAGGUCCCAAGUAACCAUCCCAGACAAGAAGUCUAGACACUAACCCUACGUAGGUCCCAAGUAACCAUCCCAGGCGAAUAGUCUAGUUACUAACCCUACGUAGGCCCCAAGUAACCAUCCCAGACUAGAAGUCUAGUCACUAACCCUACGUAGAUCCCAAGUAACCAUCCUAGACGAGAAGUCUAGUUACUAACACUACGUAGGUCUCAAGUAACCAUCCAAGGCAAGAAGUCUAGUUACUAAUCCUUCGUAGGACCCAAGUAACCAUCCAAGGCAAGAAGUCUAGUUACUAAUCCUACGCAAAUCCUGAAUAUAUUGUAGUAGGUCCAUAAUAGCCAAUUCCACCCAAAGUGCCAGUAGUUAGUACACCAUUCAUUCCUGGGUCGAAUGUUACUCCUGAGAGGAAUGACACACAAGGACACUAUUUAUAGCAAGAUUGAACGAACAUUCAGAUUUAAGUCGACCCAAAAUAACAUCCAACACACGAUGUUAACAUAUAAUGGGCAUUACUCUUACCUUUAUUAUUGGUUAGAUUUAGGUAUGGCACAGAAAUAGCCAAUAAAAUUACACCAAUCUAAAUUUAAAUUCAACAAUAUCAUGCCCACUUACAACACAUUAAUUCAUUUGAAUAAAAUCGUUUAAACACACAAACACACACACACAUACAAUAAUGUGUUGUACAUCCCAUCACAAGGACUUGUUUUUAAUGAUAUACUUCAUGACAUCCGUUUGAAAUUUUAAGUUAAUUUUAUGAUUUUUUUUCUCCUGUUUCUGACAAUUGAAUAUCGUUUUUGUUCAGAUUAGAAAUAUAGCAUGAACAACAUGCAAAACAUCACAUGGUGACCAUAAUAAAUCUGUCAUCGCACUACACAACAACUUAAGUAGCUUAAAUACAUGAUAUUCAGCAUCAGUAGUUCUUGUAGUUCAGGACGAUUUUGUUUUGUUUUUUUCAAUGAAUUUUAACGAAUUUAUUUAGUUUCACUCUAACAUUAUUUGCAUGACAUGAAUUGGAAACAUUUCAAUAUACUAGAUAAAACGAACAUUAAUUAAAAGUUCAAUAUAUAACAAUUGAAAAUAUUUACAUAAACAAGUCCAAGGUUUAAGACUGCAAAAAAUCUCUCGUGCAAUAUUUCACAUUAAUAUCAUUUGAGAGCACAAGCCAAAGGGGCAAUUGUUAUGAGGGGAAUUUAAGAAAAAAUAAAAUAAUAAGGUAAAUUUCAAAGAAAUGAGUAAAUCUUGAAAUACUACUGAACAACGUAGAUAACCAAGAAAGUAUUCGUUUGAAGUUCUCAUUUUUUUCUGUUAUUUUUGUUUGUUUUUGAUUAUCAUCAAAAUUUCCUACUACCUAAACUGUAACAAAAUUUACCCCUACAAACCCACUUGUCUAUGGACAUUAAAUACCAUGGUAAUGAGAUAGCAUACAGGUACAAAAAAGUGUAUUCAUUAUUUUUUCACAGAUACAUUGCUGUUGUGACAUCACGUGAAAUUAUUUUGCACUGCUUUCAGAUAUAUGAAAUUCUAAUUCAAACUUCUAUUAUUAAUUUUCAAUCAUUGUUGACUGGCCAUGCAAGAGAGACAUCUCUAAACCUGGAAAGGGAUAUCCUCAACUUCACCAGUGUGAGAAUUUCUUAUCUCACCCUGAGGUUCCAGCUAUACAUGCUCUUUGCACAUUAUCAACAAUUGUAUGACAUCACAACAACACAAUAAUGUAAGGUUGACAAUUCAAUCAUGUCUUGUCAACAUUAACUUGCAAUGAUGUAACAUCAAUAUACGAUAUAUACGAGGAUAAACAGGUUGAGAGAAAAAUAUUAA
Molecule: long non-coding RNA, 3591 nt
Organism: Pecten maximus
Lineage: Eukaryota; Metazoa; Mollusca; Bivalvia; Pectinida; Pectinidae
Exons: 2
Source: RefSeq, a predicted model, not a curated record